AUUUAGGCGAAAGCGCGAGGAGGGGGGGAGCGCGGGGCAGGAGGAGUAUCUCGGCCAAGAAAAUUAUGCAUGCGUUAGGGAAGCUCUGAGAGAAUGGCUGUGGAAGCUCUCCACUGCGGUUUGAACCCACGGGGUAUUGAUCACCCUGCCUGUGCCGAAGGUAUUAAACUGCAAAUUGAAGGUGAAGGCAUUGAAUCUCAAUCCAUUAAAAACAAAAACUUCCAGAAGGUGCUUGACCAAAAAGGAACCCCCAAGCGACUGCAGGCAGAAGCCGAGACAGCUAAGGUAGGUCGUAAUCCAGUCAGUUAAGGAGUCUGAGGCUGCAACUUUGAUCUUGCGUGGUCCAGCCCCAGAGAAGAACUGAUGGUGCUUUCACUGAUUAUCAUAGUUAUCUUCAGUUAAAGGAACACUGCUCCUGAUUGCAUGGAAUCAGAAAUGAAAACAUUGACUGCAUCCCCUUUUGAGGAAAAUUGAAACACAUUUGUGGUCAGUCUCAUAGCAUGAGACUCUUGGGAAUGGUAUAGAAUGAUCUACAGAGUGCCUUGGACUUCAUGCUGAAUGUUUUGUUUGCCCGGCCUCGAUUUAAUGUUUUAUGAUUUGGGGCAAGUCAUGUGACCUUCCAAGUCUCAGCUUCUUCACCUGUAAGAGUGGAUAUCAUAUAAACUACCUCCCCCACCCGAUUGAACAGAUGCAAUAAUACAGUGUGUGUGGAAGUGUUUCGCCAAAGCCCCAGUUGUCUGCAUGAGUGUGAGGAGCUUUUGCGGACAAACGCAAUGAAUAGCAACUGACAUUUUAUUAAAUACAUACAUGUAUUCCAGGUACCGUUUGAAGGACUCUUGAUAUACUGGCUUAUUGUCUCUGUAACAGUUCUGUGAGGUAGAGAGUAAUAAACAGGACCCUAAUUAAUGACAGGUAUAAUUGUUUUAUUUUGUUGCAGGCUACUUUGUUCUUUUAGUUUUUAGCCUAGAUGUAGCCAUAAAACAUGGAGCUAGAGGGGAGAUGAUUCUUUAGCAAGGAAAAUGUCUUGUAAAGAUUUUCCACAAUGAAAUUGGCAUUGUAUGGGGUUUUGUCUGAAAUCGGUGAAGAUACUCUUGUUGGAGGGGCAUAUGAGGUUGCUCCUUGGAAACAGAGACGUAAUCUUUAUGUGGCACUUGGUUUCUCCCCUGUGCGUUUCCUGCAAAGGAAUUGCCCGUCACAUGUUUGUGGAGGGCAUGAAUGUAUGCAUACUUUGGAAAGCAAACUUCGCAGCCACCCAAGAAACAAAACAUUACGUGGAAAGGGCACCUGGCUGCAAUACAGUAAUUACUUCCCAGUCCUGAAAACAUGCCUUCCAAAAUCACAUGUGAACUUUUCUACUUUAUCUAUGGUUUUGAGUAAUUACUAUAGUUGCUUCCCUUCGUGAGUGUAGAUAAUUAAAAACUGAUGACAUUAAAACUGUGUGUGUGUGGGCGUGUUGUAGGGAGUGGGGAAUGAUUAAUGAGGAAGGUAUUGUCCAUAUCUUGUGCUACACAUUUUAGUUGAGAGAAGUUGCACCUCAUAGGAAAUUAGUUGAUCGUGGAUGUUUGGUUUGUGAGAAGAGUUGGGAAUAAGUGAGCCCUAUUGUGACAUCUGUCUGAUCAGCCAGUGAUGCCACACAGGCGUAUUGAAAGAGUGAAGAAAAGAAAUGUUUGAAGGGUCUUCUUUAACCAGGAAGAUAAAUGCUAUGUCCGAGUAAGCUCUUUUCGAAGAGAUGCUUAAAAUAUUAAAAAUUAGAGUAGGGAAAAAUUAACACCUCCCUGAUUUUAAUUCCACUUUAAACAGAUCCAGAUUCUCUUAUUUGCAGAACAGAUGGGUAACGUAAGAAGUUUAAUUCAAAUCUAAUAUGAUUUGAUUGCUGCUGAAUUAUUCGGAACGUGAUAUUGUUGUCAACCUUGAGUUUUCAUGUCAGCAGCACUUGCCUGUGCCUCUAGAUCACUUCACGUUUGCUCUGCUGCACACCUACUUCACUGAGAAUGUAGUAAUCCACAAUGAAUCUCUCCUUGGGAAUAGACUAAUUGGAAACCAGAUUUCUUUGCAUUUAUCCAGAUCAUCUACAGUGAAAUCCCAAACAAUUGGAGUGGAGAGGGGAUUCUGAGUGUCUCCACAUGGACCUUAUGAAUCAGAGUGAACAGACUAGAAGCUUUUAGUUGCACUCAAGGUAUUUAUUUUUUCAUGGAAGAUUUGAUGACAACCAUGAUUGCUGGGAGGACAAGAUGAAAAUGAGUACCACAGAGUGAUUACCUGCAGUGUCACUUACCCUGGAGAUUUUGUACCACGGACAGUGUGAAUGCAUUCUGUGCAUGUACAGACACAUGUAAAUGUGCCCUUCUGUUGCAUUUAGAGGGUUAUUGGAGUUGUGAGUCAUCUUUUUUCCUGGGGUAAAUAAUUGAAUCUCUGGUAACUUGACCUACCCUCGACUCACCUAAAAACAAAAACAAAAACAAAAAACCUCUGGCUAGAAAUGCAUGCUUUUAAAGCCACUCUGUAAUGUAAAUUGGUGCAGAUUUUCUGGAGGACAGUCUGAUAGUAGUUGUCAAAAUUUGUUAAUGUAUAUAAUUUUUGAGCCAGUACUUCCCUCUCAAGGAACUUGUCCUAAGGAAAUUAUCAUGCAGGAGUGCAAAGACAGCUGCAGGAGAAUGGUCCCUCUGGUGAUCUUUAUAAUAUGAAAGCAAUGCCCAUUCAUAGGACACUGGCUAAAGAAACCGCUUAUUCAUGGAAUGGAGUAGAACUCUCCCUUUAUAAGGGUGAGGGAGCAGAUGUGUAUUUUUCUUACUCUGUUCUAGCUAUUGUAACAAUAUCUUAAACUGAGCGGCUUAAAAAAAGUAGACACUUAUUUCUCACAGUUCUAGAGGCUGGGAAGUUCAAGAUCAAGGUGCCACCAGAUUGAGUACUUGAUGAGAGCCUGCUUCUUGGCUCAUAGACGGCUCACCAUCAUCUUACUGGGUUCUCACAUGGUAGAAAUGGACCAGGGAUCCCUCUGGAGUCCUUCACAAGGGCACUAAUCCCAUUCAUGGGGGCUCCACCCUCAUCCCAUAAGCCCUUCCCAAAGGCCGCUCUUCCUAAUAACUGUUGGGUUUUAGCAUAUGAAUUUUCGGGGAGUGGAGACAUUUAGCCUAUGGCAGGGUUUAUGUGGGAAAAUGAGUAUGGUGCUUCUUUUUAGAGUUGAGGGGGAGAUCGCCACCCAGUGUGUAUAGCAUGUUCCCCUUUUCAUAAAAAUGUCCUUUCUCUGUAAAAGGCAUCAUGGAAUCUGAAAGAGUCCACUCCACAGUUUGAGCAGCAGUUUAUAUCUGGAGCUGAAAUUUUAUGGGGAAAACUUUCUUCUGCACUUGAUUUUUUUUUUUUUUAAAGAUAUACAUUCUUUUUUUUUUUGGUCUUUUUAGGGCCACACCCAUGGCAUAUGGAGGUUCCCCGGCUAGCGGUCGAAUCAGAGCUGUAGCCGCCGGCCUACAUCAGAGCCACAGCAAUGCAAGAUCCAAGCCACAUCUGUGACCUACACCACAGCUCACAGCAAUUCCAGAUCCUUAACCCACUGAGCAAGGCCAGGGAUCUAACCCGCAACUCAUGGUUCCUAGUCAGAUUUGUUAACCACAGAGCCACCAUGGGAACUCCCUAAAGAUAAGCAUUCUUGAAGCAUAUUUAUUUUAAAGCCCUUUUCAGAUUGUCUCAUUAACUUAAGCAGUUCAGCUGUGACUUUUUCUGUUUGUUGAGUUGGCAUUCUGCCUUUGAUGGUGUUUUCUUUCCUCCAGAGGGUUCCAGUUUUGCUUGUUAUUUGCCAAGGGGGGGUAGUUACCUUGGGGACCAUGUGUGCCUUGGAAUGUGGAGGCCCUUCGAUGAGAUGCCUUUUUGAUCUUUGUGCUGCUGAAGGGAGCACUGAUAAGGUGCUUUUGUGUUUGUCUCUUCAUGAACUUUUGGGGAUGGAACAGCUUUGACCAGGUGUUUAAUUAUGUUUCAAUUUGAUGUUCUUUUUGUUGCUGACUGACUAGCAAAUCAAGCCCUCUCCAGAUGGGCUCCCCCCUCCACAGGCUUCAUACGGGAACCUGGUUCCAGCUCCCUUGCACACCUGUGAGCUCUGCCACUUUGGCUCUGGCCAUGUUGGGCUUUGAAGCCAGUUCCUGUUCCAAAUCUCCAGUGGGCAUAGGGAAAUUCAGGCGUCCUCAUUGCUGUGGCUUUCUGGCAUCUAGAUUCCUCCUCCUUCAUGUCAGGUUUGGUCUUCCAUAAAUUUACAUAAAAAUAUAUUUUAUAGCAUCUUGAAGUUUCUGGAGCCUGAGAAGGGAUUGUAUUGAGCUUAAUCUCCCAUCUUGACCCUGAAUUUUAUAUCCUUUUUUAAUUAAAAAAUAUCUCUCUCUUGGAGUUCCUUUUGUGGCUCAACAGGUAAGAAACUGACAUGGGUGGAUACGGGUUUGAUCCCUGGCCUUGCUCAGUGGGUUAAGGAUCUGGCAUUGCCAUGAGAUGUGGCGUAGGUUGUAGAUGUGGCUCGGAUCUGGCUGUGGCAUAGGCUGGCAGCUGCAGCUCUGAUUUGACCCCUCACCCGGGCACUUCUGUAUGCUGCAUGUGCAGCCAUAAAAACAAAAACAAAAAAACCUCUUAUCUCUACAUAUUCUGAGAAAAAUCAUCUUUAUCUUAAAUGUGAUUUGGGACCUUCGUCCCCAAUUACACAAAAAACUAGGACUCUAGUUCCAGAAAGAGGUUCUCCAUGCCACGAGUUGCCUUCCACUCUUAUAGACCAAAGAGACAUCACUAGAGAACCAAGCUUACUUUUAAGCCUUAUUACUGGGUAGCAAAGGCUAGUUAGAAAAGCUAGAUCUAAUUAAAAUGUGGAUUUGCAAAAGAUGUUUACCAAUGGGAGUCCUAAAUGCCAACAAGGACUUUGGAAUCCAGAGAGUACGCAUACAUAUCACAGCUGCAGUCCUAAGUUCAAAAGGCAAAAACUAUGUUGACUUAGCUUUACAGGUGAAUACCAGGCAAGGGAGAGUCAGUCUCACCCUUCAUCUCCUCAGGUCCAGGAGGUGUGAAGGUAAACAGCUUCUUUUGUUCCCUCCCCCACCCAGGGGCGUGUACAACCACCCCAGAGGAGAGCCAAGAUGAGGAUGCAUUUCCUUGAAGGCACAGCCCCUAUUUUCCAUCAUUAUUACCGCUCUAGUCAUGUGGGCUCAAGGCCAGCUCACGGUCCUGUAGACCAGGUGUGGUUCCACACAGCAUCUUUCCAGGAGGCAGCCCUGUGAGUGACUGAGAUUCUUCCCAUACUGACCUGAGGUUGACUAACUCUUUCUUCCCAGUGCAGUAAGGAUGGGAUUGCCAGAGAAAGUAGGUAGAGGAAGAAAUUUACCUAUGGUGUAUAAUGCAAGUAACAUUCAAAUGCCCAGCAGUAAGAAUGGAAGGAGCCCCUAGCAGUGAAGUCCUGGCUCUCUGAGCCAAGGGGUGGCCGCAAACAUCCUCAGGCACACUGGGCAGCAGUCUCCUUGAGUCACGAGUUGUGUUGUGGGAGCUGAGGUUGGAACAGUAGGCUGGGGCCAAGUCAUGUGGGGUUUGAGUGCUAGGAGCAUGGAUUUAUUUCCUAUCUGUACCAUCCAGUAUGGUAGCCACUAGCUGUGCAUGGCCCUAGACACAUAUGAAAA
This 5633-nucleotide long non-coding RNA is filed under the name Sus scrofa (pig). RNAcentral describes it as "lncRNA (ENSSSCG00050030606.1)". Lineage: Eukaryota; Metazoa; Chordata; Mammalia; Artiodactyla; Suidae. The record is from RNAcentral.